Molecule: long non-coding RNA, 18562 nt
Filed under: Capsicum annuum
Lineage: Eukaryota; Viridiplantae; Streptophyta; Magnoliopsida; Solanales; Solanaceae
Description: long non-coding RNA (CANN_LNC011677)
Source: RNAcentral
UGUGCUUUUGAGGUGAAAAAUAUUCAUAAGAAUCACUUAGGACAAAUUUGAGCUUGGGGCCUUUGAUUUGUCCAAAGUUUGGUAUUUGAUUCUACAAGGAUCUACUUUAAACAUGUAUAACUUUUGAUACACAUGGAAUUUUUAAGCUCAAGGCCCACCAAAUUGUAGAUAAUUGAAUAAGUUUUUCAACUAUACCAAAUUUCACCUUAAUCCGAUACCCGAGAGAAAAGUUAUGGCCUUUUCUGUGAGAGGCAUUAACUGGAGGUGAUAUGCCCACGCCGUGGGCCUUACAACACCGCUCUAGAGGGGGCGUCGCAGACUCUAUCACCCUGGACUGAAAAUCACGUCACUUUGUCCAUUCCUUCACGUUUUCAACAUCUUAAGGGUCAAGGGGCACUUUGGUCCUUUUCCCCUUAACCCUAAACGUCCAAGGGACGAUUUAAAGCAUCCAAAAGAGCAUUAUUUUCCCAUAUUCUUCAAGAUUUGCUCUCAAGAAACCCUCAUUCUUUCCCAAGGAUAAUUCAAGCUUCAAAGUAAAGGAUUCAAGCUCUUAUUUUCAAGAAACCCUCAAGAAAUAUCCAAGAAAUCGUCUAAUUAAGGUAUGUGGGAGUUCAUCCAUGGGUCCCUUUCACCCAUGGAGCCCAAAAACCCUCUUUUCAAUUAAAGAAUGAAAUUUUAUUCUUAUUAUGGAGUUUUGUAUGUUUAAGAAAGAUUUAGUUUCAUGAUUUGAUAGUGUUUUUAAUUCAAUUCAGUCCUCGUAUGAUUCCAUGCAAGAUGUUGAAUUCCUCAUGCCAUGAAUUUGAGUUUUCCAUGCUUCAUUCAAGUGAAUUCUGUGAUAGAUCCUAAAUUCAUGAUUUUUAGCAUCAUUUCCAUAUUUCAAAUUCAUGCUUUCCACAUGAAUUUCAACAUGUGAUGAUGAAACGCCCAUGUCCUAUUGAUGGGGAUUUUAGAUUUCGGCAACUUAGUAGGGAUUUUAACUAAGUCUAAACAAAAUUAAUAAGCAAAUAAACACAUAAAAGGGAAAGGGAGGAGAAAGUAAAAGAUUUAGGCCAUUGGUCCAAAUCAACGAGACCUAUCCUAGUCUAAUUAGGCCUUUGACCCAUUUUACCUGUCCUAGUUUAGUUUUUGAGCCCUUGGCUCGAGUUAGUUCCACCUGUAUUAACUACAACUUUGGCUUCGAAGCCCAAAUGAAAUGAAUAAAUAAAAUAAAUAAAUAAAUAAAUAAAGACAAUAAUAAAUAAAUGAAUAAAUAAGCUGAAAAAAUGAGACUUUCAAGUCUCUUGGCUGCUUUAGAGAUGGAUUUUUUAACCCAUUCUUCUUCUUUUGACUCCUUGCAUUCAUGCGCUAUGUAGUUGAUUUCGAACUUAUUCUAAAUCUUGACUUGAGAGGACGGGCCCCAUUGGCCAUGAGGAAUGCAAGGCAAACUUGAGUCCAUUUGGACUCCAAGGCAAGUUCAUGCAAAGAGAAAGUAUAAAGAAUCAAUACUCAUUUCAAAUUGCCAGCUUAACAUCAUAGAGGACUUAUGAUAGUGUAAAGGAUAUACAAGCAACGAAUGCAGGAAGAAGCAUAUGGUCACAGAAACUCAAGUUCGUAAAAAAAAGAUGGCUAUGAAGAAAAGCCUCAUAAUUUCGAGCAAGUGCAGUCAAAUAGCUACAUUUUAUCACUACAUAAAUAUUUAGCUAAGCAGGGACAUUGACUGAACGCCUUAAAGAUUUAACAAAAGAGAGGGGAAGUUGAUAAAUAAUAAUACAAAGGAUCAAAGAAGAAGUAAGAUAUAAAUUAAUAAAACCCUAUGUUCCAAGAAUUAUUAUUCGUAUUUAAUUUUAUACUACUAUACAGUAAACUAAAGGAAAAAGCGGUGAUUGAUUGCACGUCUUCAGAAAAUUUUAAUGAAUCCUAACCAAAUAAGGGAAACAAAAAGGAGGGAGUGGGAACAUAUAUCCAUGGUAUUCAUUUGAGGCUAAACAUUCGCACCAAAAUAAACAUCACAUAAUUUAAGAGAUCAGUCUUGUUGCAUCAGUAUAUUUAUUUAGACAAAGUGAAGACGAGCAGAAAAAGUUAUUUGAUUUAGCAUAUCUUAUGGUUAAAGACUUAACGAAUACUCCCUCCGUUUCAAAAAGAAUGACCUACUUUCCUUUUUAGUCCGUUUCAAAAAGAAUGACCCCUUUCCUUUUUUGGCAAUACUUUAAUUUCAACUUUCCACCUGGCAUGUUUAGGACCACAAGAUUAAAAGAUAUUUUGGUACAUUGGACACAACUUUAAUUUAAGGCCACAAAAUUCAAAAGUCUUCUUUAUUUUCUUAAACUUUGUGCCAAAUCAAAGUAGGUCAUUCUUUUUUAAACGGAGGAAGUAUCAUCAGAUUAUCAUAUAGAGAGAAAAAAGAGGGGUGAGAAUAUGCGUAGACAAGUAGAUUUUCUUAGGCAAGCGCUUUAAACAUGGUAACAAAGUCACCAUAUUCAAGCUACCUUUACAACCUAAAUUGUAGGAAUACACCAGUUGCCAAAGCUUUAGAAUCGGAAAGACUAAACAAAUCCAAUCAACAAAUCGACGUUUUACAAACUCAUAGUAAGAUAAAACACCUAUCUAACCUCGAGAACACUUCACUACUUUACCAAAGAUCAGUUCCCCAAAAAAAGAAGAAAUUCUCCACAUUCAAAUCAAAACAAGACUAUGACUUCAUUUUGGUAAACGAAAAUGGAAAAAAGAAGGAACAGGUAUUUCAAACCCAACUCAAUUGGAGCAAUCGUCAAAAAUCAAACACAAAGAAAUAGGCGAAAAAGGACAAACUUAUGAUCAUAAAAGAAUGACAUUUCGAAAAGAAAAAAUUCUUUCCUGUAGAGAUUGCUAACAAAAUUAAUCAAGAGAGAAAUAAAUCGCACUUAAGGACACAUAUCCUAAUGGAUUAGCUAUGUAAAUUUCAAUAGACAACAAAAAAUAGGACAUCCAAAAGCUGAUUACAAUCAAUCAGCAAAGUAAAACAGGUAAUUUACACUAUUUUACACCCUCAAACAUGAAUCCAACAGUAAAAGAAAGACAGGCUAGCAUAGAGAUCAAAUAGCAAAUUGACUGCAGCAAAACUAUUACAUUUCAGCGCACAUAGAUCCUAUGCCUUUCAAGGCUUCUACAGCUACUCCCAGCAAAUAACAUCAUCGAAACAUAACUACAGAACAAUGAGACGAAGUAUAACUAAUCGAAACUAAAUGAAAUAGAAUGUUACCUGUUCGGGGGCAGCAAAAUAGGAUCACGAGCUUCCUCGGGAUCAACUUUCACCGGAAAAUAUUUUUAUUGACUCGAAAUCUUCGAUUAGAUAAUGAAUUUCACGAAACAAAAUUUUUACUCAAAGAAUCGACUGUUCUUUUGCUCAAAAGGUUACUCCCCUCUUUUCAGACCCAAAAAAAUUUAGAACCCCAAUAUUUUGCCACCCACGAAACAAUGAACCCUCCCCCUUUUAUAGAAAACCAACUCAAAAACGAUUGGGGGGGGGGGACUUCAAAUUGGGGAAUUUUAAAUUUUAACUCAAAAUUCAACUAUGGUCCACAAAUUGUUCCUAUUUUCUUGUUUUAUUCUUAAAAUUUUGAAAUUGGUGGACCAAUAAGAUUUAGGGAAAACAAAUUUUUCCCCAAACCAAUGAAAUCAUAACAUAAAUGUACGAAAUUGUACCCCUAUACCUGAGAUUCAUGGAAUUGAGCCAUUGGGGGAGACACCUGGAGUAAUUCUAGAAGAUUCUCAAUCUUUUCUUGUCAUUAUCACGUGAGACACGUGGGCAAUCGAUUCGGUUGGAGCCGGGUCAGAGCUAGCGGGUUGAGAUUAAAGCUGUUUUGGUGUUGGUUUGUUUGCGAUUUGGAAUCAUUGUUAUUGAGAUUGUUGGUUGUUCGAUGCUUUUUUUGUUUGAUGUUUACUGAAGGCUGGUGUUUGUACGGGUGUUGAAGGAGAAAGGGGUCCAUGGUAGGCUAGCCGGGUCGGAUCGACUAUUGGGCCAAAGGGUUAGGUCUGUUUUAAUGUUGGGCUGGUGAUUUGGGGCUGAAAUUAUUGGUUUGAGGGUUAUUUAAAACAUAUCCCCCAAUUGAUUUAAGAUGUAGCCUAAUUUUAUUAAUAUUUCGAUCAAAUUGAAAAUUAAAUUGGUCAAAUUGCAUUGUGAUUGUUGCCAAUUGAUUUCAAUUAUGAUCGAAUUAAAUAAAUUUGACUAAAUUGAAUCAAGAUACGAAUUAAUACCUCGUUUAAUCUCGAGCUUCUUAAUUUAAUAAAAUCAACUAAAUAUUUUUUAAAUAAAUUAUUUUCAAUAAUAAAUUAUAUUUAAGUCAAAAUUUUAAUUAUUUAAAUUUAUUUUCCAAAUAAUCCUUAAUUUGAAGUUCAAUUUUGAUGAAAAUGUUCAUUUAAAUGAUAUCAUCUAUACAAUCUCGUAUAUGUAAAUACGAAAAUAUAUAAUUAUCACUUAAAUACCAAAUUUAGCCCAAAUAAAUAUUUUAAACUACAUUUAUUUGAAAAAAAUAAUUGUUGUGAUUUUAUUUGAAAAUCGAAGCAACUCGAGAUUAAACAUAGUUGUGGAGGGCAAAAAUUAGGUGUCAACAACCCUCAUGUCCUAUUUCAAGAGAAUUUUAUGUAAAUCCCCAAUUCAUGAUUUUAGUUAUGUAAUCAUGUCAUACUUCCAUGUUUAAGAUAUUCCCAUGCACAAGUUUAUGGUCCCCAUGUGUUUGAUGAAAUGCCGAAGUGAUGGGUUUCUUUGAAUAAUGCUUUCUUAUUAUGUUUCCGAAGCUUUAGUAUGUCCCUGUUGUUAUUGCUAUCGAGUCUUGGGGGUUAUGAAUACCCAAAAACUUAGUUGUUUACCUAGUUUUAGUAUUUUCAGAAUAUUUUCAGAUAACCAUGAGUCUUGUCAUCCAGUUAGUCAUCAUAAUUAGUUUAAAGGUUAAUAAUUACCUCAAAAUCUGUAAGUACUGUUGUUUUUAAAAUACCAUGACUUGAGCUUAUCAGUUAUUAGUUAUAAGUGCAUGCACCAGUUAGUAAUCCGUGUCAAUUCAGUUGGGAGUAGGAUUCAACACCGAGCAAAACCAGGGAUGGGGCAUUCAUGCCAGCAUGGGGUUUGACCCUUAGUAGCAAUCCCUGAGUUACAGAACUAUGUAGCCGCGUCGGUUUAAGAUGUCUUCUUACCAGUUUAGGGUUGACACAUAUCUCAGGAGUUUCCUGCUAGUAUGGGGUUACUCUUUAGUCCUUAGAACUUUAUUUUAGUGGAUCUACAUAGCCAAUGUUAGUACCCAUGACACGGUAUUGACACCCUUCCAACUGGAGUUACAGGUUGGAUCUCGAUUAGCUUAGAAUGGGGCAUUUUGGUUAGAUAAUAUCUCCCAUAUUCUCAGUUCAAUAUUCAAUUUCAGAGUUCAGUUUCAUGUUUGCUUGACUAAGUGUACAGACUUUCAGACACUCAAUUUUUACAACUUUCUUUUUUUCAAAUUAUAGAUUAUCUCAGUACCAUAAUAGAUAUACACUUAGUCCUGCAUUCUUAGAUAAUAUAGUUUUCAUGCAUUCCUACUCAAUUAUAUGAUGUUAUUCUGUUAUUCCUUAUCUCAUAUACUUAGUAUUCCAUAGUUUCAGCCCAGUUAUUCAAACUAACUACAAUUCAGUAUUACGUGAUCAGUAUUUAGUCAUUAACUAUUCAGUGUCUGAAUAUCAGUACUUCAUAUUCAUAUAUCAGCUACUCAGUAUAUAGGUACUAGUUACCCUCUUUAAUUAGAGUUUAAUCAUUUCGUACCCCAGACAUCAAUUAUUCAAUUAAUCAGAUCAGCUUAGUACAUGUAUGUUUGGUCUUAUAUAUUCAUUUAUCCAUGAUUUAUCGGAUCCCAGCUUUAGUUCUACUUAUUUUGGAAAAGUAAAUAUUUCAAACUAAGUAUAGUGAUUCACCAGCUUACCAGCUUAUGUUUGUUGCUCAUGCUUUUAAGAUAAUUCAACUUUCAGUUUAUUCCAUCUUAUUGGUGAGUCUACUUACACUUAGCAUUCAUGUUUUAAGAUUAAGUAUGAAAUCAGUUUUACUUAUUGUAUUCACCCCUGUAUACUCAAUACAUUCCAGAAGUACUGAUCCACAUAUAAUGUCUGUGUGCUACAUUGUCUCAGAAUAUAGGUACCAAUUAUAACCUACGCAUCAUGAUCAGACAGUUGCAGUUUUCAGCCAGCAGGUGAUGAGUUCUCUUAUUUCAAAAACUCCAGACAAUUUUAUUUAAUAUACAAUUCAUUUAUUUUUCAUAUGUCUUGAUUAGUGGUAGUUAGAGGCAUGUCCCAGCUAUCUAUAGUCAGUAUAGUAGAGGCUUCAUAGAUGUCAGUCAGAGUCAUUCAUGUAAUGUCAGUUUCUUCCUUCAGGUUUAUCAAAUUGUAAAACUUUAUUAGUUACAUAAUAUUUUGGAUUUUUAGUAUGAUUAUGUUUCUACAUAACAGAACUUGUUAUUUAAUGUAUUAUAAUUUAGUUGCUUAAUAGUAUGCCAGUUCAUGGUAGCUUGGAAUUACUUGUGGUUCCAAGUAUCGUAUGGCAUCCAGGGUAUACUCUCAGGGCAUUACAUGAGUCCUAUGUGAUGUUAAUAGCCCUAUAUACAUAUGAAUAAUUGUACUGUAUUGUCGAAAUACCUAAUAUGGUACCAUUGCUGUAUUGUGAUAUAUUCAUACUUGUUGGUAUAUGAGACAUGUGAAAUUCAUGGAUGAAACAGAAAUAAUGAGUGGAUAUAACUCACAUGGUUGUGAAAUACAUCAUGUAGUUUGGGUGUGGAAAUAAAUCAUGUGGAUUGGUUGUGAAAAUACUCAUUUUGAAUGGUUGUGAACAUUGUGUCAUCAUACACAUCAUUUCACUUGUUCAUUUUACUGCUUUUAUAUAUACUUGUUAUCAUGUAUGUGUACUUGAUUUAUGUCUUAUGUUAUAUGUGUACUUUAAAAAUAUUGGAAACAUUGAAAUACUAGAUAUUGGUAUCGGAUAUUGGAUUUUAUGGACCAUCUUGAGGUUGUGCGCCAAACUUAAGGCUAUAUGUCAAACUUGAGGCUGUGUGCCAAACUUAAGUUUGUGUGCCAAACUUGAAGUUGUGUGCCAAACUUGAAGUUAUGUGCCAAACUCAAGGUUAUAUACCAAUAUCAUGCAUUAUCAUCAUCAUUAUCAUAUACAUUAUACCCACUUUAUUGUUGUUAUGUUGUGUUUGAAUUACCAUAUUGACUUGUCAUCUACCUAUUUUUUCUAUAUCUUGACUUGUAAACAUCUAAUUGUUCUAUCUUCCUAUAAUUGUAGUUGAUGAUCUUGAUUAUACAUGUCCCUCUUUUUUAUCUACUUGUAUGUGAUAUUGUGUAUAUUUGUAGCUCUAUCUUGUGUGUUGUUGUAUUAUAUAUGGAUAUUAUAAAAUUUUUAAUGCAAGCGGUGUGGGCUACCAUUGUGGGAUAUUUUCUAAUUGCAGGUGAUGUGCCCUUAGUAUGUAUUUUUAUGCUUUAUUUUCUAUUUUGUUUGGUCGGCCUAUGAUACCUACUGAGUACAAGUAGACCAUUCUCAUGCCUAUUGCUUUUUUUUGGUGCAGGUCUUAGCUCGAGUGCGCCUCAACUUGCUUAACUCGGGCGAUUGUUGGAGCUUCCAAGGUAGCGGUUGGACAUUCAUGCGUCUGAAGUUUACCUCUAUCUUUCUAUAGUAGUUAUGUCUUUAUUAGUAUUUGGAGAUAGAUAUUAUUCCUUUGUGGUUAUUUUUCUAAAGUAUUUGACUCUCAGAUUGUAUUAGUAGUUCUUACAAUAUUGACACCUGGUUUUUGGGCAUGAUUGGUAUUUUGGAUAAGUUCUUUCCACAUUGUUAUGAUUACUUGUAUGGUUCGGCUUCAUUCUAGAAGCCUUACUUUGGGGUAUUUCUGUCUUUUUUUUUGUUGUAUCAGUUUGGGUGAUAGGCUUACUUGUCAAGGUACACUGCGACAAGUGUUAUCAUGACCCUCAUUUUUUAGGGUCGUGACACUCUAGGUGUGAACCUUUAAAAGUGUUCUGGCUCUGAUACCAAUUAUUGAAACCCUUGCGGGUUGCACCGCACAAUGAAGGGCCAGGUUCCACUAAGUCAAUCACAGACAAUCAAACAAUAAAGUGCAGGAAAAUAACAACACACGGUAUUUUAACGUGAAAACCACCUUGCUUAAGGGAGGAAAAACCAUGGCUUGCCCUCAUAAGAACCUCAAAAGUUCACUAUAAUCAAUCUCUUGAUUACAGACUCGAACUUAAACCUAACUCUAGGUUCCCCUCACUUGUAAUACCUAUACUACAAACUCAUCUUGACAACUCUAUCAAGGCCCUCUCUAAACUAAUUAACUCUAAUCAGUAUCAAACUUAGGCAACUCUACCUAAGCACUCUCUAAACAAAGAGAAAAUUUCAUUACUCUUAUAUCAUGAGUAAUUCGAUCACAAAUCAAGACUCAAUCAAGACACUCUCUAAUUCAGCACACACAUAUGACAAAAGAGCUUGAGCAAUAUCAUAUGGAGUUUUUGCCUUUAUCUCUCUCCAACACUCUUUUUGUAUUUACAAAAAUCAUUUGAUGAAGAAGCAUUUUUUUCUUUUAUAGAUGAGUGAUGAUCAGGUCUGAAAUGUCAUUGGGCCAGGUUUCCUAAUUCCUGCUAGUUUGUUACAUAAACAGCCAAAGCUGUGCAGACGCAUUCCAACUGUACUGUUGCUUCGAACAUCCAGGGACUUGGUCCCUUGUAGUCAUCUGCUCAUCAUCAAAACUACAUAACAUUUUCAUAUAUAUAUAUAUAUAUAUAUAUAUAUAAAUUAUAAGAAAAAUAUGUAUUGUAUUUAUAUAUAUAUAACGAGGAAACAAAAGAACUAAACCAAUUUUCUCCUUUGUACUCCUAUUCAUUCUCUUUUUAAUCUUUAUUAAAAAGGAUUAUAUAAUUUAUGUGAUACACAAGCAAUAUAAUAGAGAAGGAUAUAUUUAGUAAUGAAAAAUUUAAGAUGAUAUCACACGCCAUGUUAUAGAGUAGCCGUAUAAAAUUCAGCGUGGUGGUAAAAAGUUUUUAUAUCCAGAGGAUAAAUGUAAUAAAAUCGAUAAUGGUGAGAUGAAUGUGCUGAUACUUUUGGUUAGAUAAAAUUGAUAAAUUAAUGAAAUUAUUUGGAAAAGAUGAGGGUGACUUUUAUGGUGAAUGGGAUGGAGAAGGUGAGACUGCCACAUUGAUCCUAAGUUUCUUCUCUUUUUCUGUUAUUGAUCAUUAGCAUUAUUAUUGAAUUUAUUGACUGUAUUCUUCAUAUUAUUUAUUUUCUAGAAACUUUUUAAUUUUAAUAUUUUUGUUUUUAUAUGCAGAUGAUGAGUGAUGAUCAUACUACAAACUAAUUAUUUUUGCUACUAUAUCCAAACCCAAAUUCAAGUCAGUGAUAAUUUUUAUUCUAAUUUGUUCUUUUGAAUUUUGAUGAAAAUAAAUACAUUCAAUUCUGUAAAUAAAAAAUAAAAUCACCUCUUAUUGAGAAUUUUAUUCAAGCAUUUAUCUUUCAAAUGUUAGCUCCUAAGUUAUGGUAGUUUUAUGGAAAAGAAUUAUUAAAAAUAUGAAUAUAUGGAAAAUUCUGUUAAAGUAUCAAUUAGUAAUCAACUAAAAUUCUACUUAUUAAUUUCCUUUUGUGACCUAAAAACCCAAAAAUAAUCUUUAGUACAGACACUUUCCUGCGUUUUCUUCUUCGAGGUGGAAGAAAUUCAAUUUUUGCAUGAUUUGUUAGCUGAUUUGCUUUCAUAUCGGGCGCGUUAAUUUGCUUUCUCUCGAUCGAUUCACUGUUGAUGAGUUAGGUAAUUGCUUAUUGGAUCAAGCCUAUUUAUUUAACCUUUUUAUAAUUGAAUGUUAUGCUGAUGUAAUCCAAUUAUUUUGUUGUUGCACGUACUUAAUUAAUUCAUGUAAAUGGUUUUUAAGAUUCGGUUAUUGCUACGUAUAUGUUUAUGUUCACACUGAUUGACAAGUACAAACAAGCAACAGUUUGGUCAUGUUUUUAUACACAAGACUGCUUUGGAAUUCGUUGUUUAAUUACCACAGCUGAGAUUUUAGCCGUUAUUCUGUUUAGCAAUAUUUAAUUUUCCAGAGAUCUGUAACUGAAUUUGUUUUUCGUUUUGAUUUGGUUACUCAUAUUAAAAGAUUUGAUUUUUCUGCAUCGAAAGAGGUAGGUCCGUUGAAAAGUAUGGAUGUGAAUUAUUUUGUUUCUGCAUGUCUACGUGAUCGAUGAGAACUUUUUUGUUUGGUGUGAGUCAUAUGAUUCAUGCCUCGAUUGAAUUUUGUUCCUGGGGUGGAUUGUUAAUUUCAGGCAUUUAGCAGUUGAAAUGGCAUCACAAGAUGGUUGAAGGGAAGAGUGAAAGUCGUUUCCUCUUGUGACAGUUUGGUGAUCAUGGGAAAUUCCAAGGCUGAAAUUCCACUUGAAAAGUCUAUUAUCUUAGGAUCUCUAAUGGCUCCACGAUUGGUAUGACAUGCAUUAAUAAACAUUACUUUGUUUAUUUAGUCAUGAGAUAGAAAAUCCAUCACCGCCUGAUAUGGUAGAUGAUGUAUUGACAAACUCCAUUAUAUGAUGGAGUAAUAAUAGUAAUAGUUUCGUCGCCUGAAAUGUACCUGAAUUUUUCAAAGACAUUUUGUCCAAAGUAUUGUAGGCAUAAUAAUUUUUCCAUCUUUAUUAGACAGUUGAAUACUUAUGUUUAUUUUAUAACGUUUGAUAUCAAGAAAAUUAUUGUCAUGAAAAAGAUAUAAAUUUUAUAAUAUGUGAAUUAUAAUGUAGUUUAUUUCCUUUAAGUUUAUUUUUGAAAGUCGCGGAUUAAGGUAGAAUGUAUCGUAGCUUUUAUGUUUAAUUUAGUUCUAAUAUUUGUUUUUGAAAGAUUCCGAUUCAAGUAAAGUUGAAUUUGCGUAAUUAUUUAUUAAAAUUGCUUAUAAUAAUAGAAAAUUUGAUUUCUUAUUCGAGGAGAGAGCAAAGUGCAUGCAUAUUUUACCUCUACCUCAAACAUGUAAAGUUGAGUUUGCAUAGUUAUAAUUUAAAAUUGUUUAUAAUGAUAAAAUACUUGAUAUUCUAUUUAAGGAGAAAGCAAAGUGCACACGAAUCUUAUCUCUAGUUCACGGAGUAAAGAGAUUAUUUUCAAAAUAUUCUAGCUAAGGUAAACUUUGAAUUUGUGUAGUUUUAUCUUAAAAUUAUUUAUAAUGAUAUUAACUUUAGUAUUCUAUUCCACCUAUCUGUGGUAUAAAUUUCUCAGCUGGUGUACUUUGUUUAGGAUCAUAGAUAUUUCGACGCUUUAUAUAUAUUGUCAGAUAAAUUUUAUUUCUCGAAGACUCAACUUGAGCAAGCUCGAUUUGUAUGAAAUUAGUUUAUAUCUGUUCUAUCACCUUUAAAAUUACUUUGUUACAAAUAGUCGUUCUAAAAGGAAAUGCAUCUUUAAUUACUUUAUCAAACGAUCAAUCAAAUUGACCUAAUCCUGUAUUAUUCACGUCGACUCUAUAGUUCCUCUGUAUUCAUUCUGCUUUAUUUGACUGAUAUAUAUGAUUUAAUUACAUCAUACACUUGAUAUCGCUUUUGCAUUGAAAUUUCAGAAUUUGUAAUUUCUAUAGGUUUUGGAGUAGAUCAGAGUGAGAUUAGAGUCAAAUAUGAUUAUGAAAUGCAACAAGGACAUAUUGUUGACAUGUGUUUCAUAAGGGAGUAGUAUAACUAAGAACCUUUUUAUCUCUGUGAUAUUCAGGGAUAUGGAUCUCUUUUUAACCAAUCUUCAUUUGCAUAUAUGUUAUUAUUUAUUUUUAAAAAGUCUCGUUAAAUUGAUUGUUCAGGAGAAUGUAGCACUACAAAACUGAUUGUCCUUGGGUGUUGGAACAUAUAAGCUAUGCACUGCAAGAUUAAUGUUGGAACUUAUUCUCUGAGAAUCCUUAAAAAGAGUUUUGUCUCAAAAUUGUUUUUCAAAUUUAUUGAUCAAAUACAAAUUAAUUCUAAUCAAAGGUACUUUUUUAAAAAGUACUUUUACAAAAAAUAUUUUUUAAAAAAUAAAUUAAUUUUAUAAAUUUGAUCAAAUAAGUUAUUAAUUUGUAUGAUAGUAUUUUUAUUGAUAGAUUUUUUGUUCAUUGUAUACAUGAAACAGGAGACCUAACAAAUAUGGUAGGAGGAAGAUAUAGGUGGGUUUUUUUUUCUGAGUCAAGGAUUUAAUUCGCAGAUUUGAUCAUACUUUAAUACUUCAAUUUAAGUGAGACCAUCAUUAAUUUGAAAAUUCAGAUUCGCCUGUAAUUGUAUUUUGAUUUCAAUUUUUAAUUGAUCCAGUGAACUCAAACCAAUCUAAGAGCUUGAACCCGAACAAGAUUUCAGAUGGAGUUCUUGAUUUUUGUAGCUUCAAAUUAUUUCUUUAGAUCACAUUGAACAAAAUUAUUUUUUAAUUAUUUUGCUAAUAUUGAAAAUUUCAAGUCAACUAAUUAUAACUGUUAAACACAUCCUCAUUAGUUAAACUACGUAAGAAGUUGUAACAUUGUAAAAGAUAAAAUAACUUUUUCAUGUUUAGUUUUGUAAAAGUUGUAAAAAGAUAAUAAAGAAAGAUGAGUAAAAAAACACCUACUCUAUGGAAGACAGUAAACGAAAAUGCUGAAAUAAGACCAAAUUGAAUUUAUAAAUAAAUUCAUUGAAAGGAAACCUAAAAAAGAAUUAUUCGUAAUUUUUUUAAUCAAAUCAUCUAUAUAUUAUAUGAAUUAUAAUUUACAAUAUUUUCUCAAAUAGUUAUCACUUAAUUAUUUAAAAAAAUUACUUAUUUAUAAAAAGGUAAGAGUUCCUAAUAUUUAAUACUUUAAAAUUAGAAUUAUUCUUCUCAAAUUUUUCAUUAAUAAGCUCUACAAUAAAUAAAAUAUCUAAUUUUAAAGAUUAUUUUUUAUACAUUUUAAUUUAGGAGUCAUUUUCCUCUCAUCAUUCUAGAUGUACUAAAUUCUAAUUGUAAUUUAAAGUAAUCAUGACAUAAUCCAUAAAGAUGCACGCAAUAUGACUUUUUUGGAUAGACAACAAACAGUAACCAAAUUCUAAUUUACUACUACUCCAUUAGUUAUGUGUGGAAUGAAUUCUUUUAAUCUUUUUCUAAUUUAACAAAAAUAAGUAGGCUAUUUUGGAUAAGAAUUGUACCUAAGAUAAAAAGAAGUUUUGCAAGUAAACACCAACUUUUUAAUGUCUUAGAGCUUGUUUGAUCAAACUUUUAAAAGUUUUUUUAAAAAAAAAAUAAAAAAUAGAGUACUUACUUUUAAAAAAAAAUGUUUGAAGAAGUUUUCAAGAAAGUAGAAGUGUUUCUAUGGAAUAUGUAGUAGUAGAAGUUGUUUUCAUAAGCUAAAAAAAGAUAUUUUUAUUAAAAAUAUUCACAAGUGAAUUUGAAAAGAGUAGAAUGUACAGAAACUUUAUCUUUGUCUUUGUAAUGGAGACUUGUUACUGAUACACUAUUGAUUUUAUUUUUUUAUACAAAAAUAUUUUUUAAAAUAUAUAUUUUAAAAUAAAAUAAUUUUUAAAAAUUGGACAAACAAAUUAAUAAUAUUUCAUCAAGAUUAUUAUUGAUGACUCCAUACUUUAUUUCGAAGAUUAUAUUGAUUAAUUUGUUUGUCUUUGACUGUGGUCAGUGAUUAUUUAACAUUAUUUUCUUCUUUUAUGUUUGUGUUUAAUACACAUUUAAUAAAUUAAUAGUGAAAUAUUUUUAUUGUAUUGAAGAGAGAAUAAUAACUCCCUAAUUCUUUACGAUACGUAUAUUGAAAAACAAAUAAGGCAGAAAGAAUUGUGCAAUUGAUACAACAUUUAGAGGAAUAUUAUUUACUUCUUUUAUUCUUCUAAGAUAUAUUUUACAAUGAAUAAAAUUAUAAUUUGUUUACUUUAAUACUAUUUAGAAUAUUGAAUAUCAAUUAAAAGUUUGGUUAUUAAAUUCUUAUUUACUAAAAUAUGUAAAAAAUUCCAUGAAGUACUAAUAUUUAAAAUUUUAAAAAUCAACUAAAACUCUACCUUAUAUAAAUUGUAUUAAAGUAAAAUUUAAUUUAUAUAUAUGAUAAUUAAAUUGCUUAACAUGAUGAACAAUGGUUAUAUGAGAUCAGUGUCUCUUAGAAUACAUAAAAUAUAUUCAAGGAAACUAGAUGAAGCACAUAAAUUGUUUCAAUGUGGAACAACUAAAAUAGCUUUAAAUUUUAAAAUAUCAUAAAACAUCAUUGAAAAUUAUUAGUUGAUUGACAAAAAGAAGAAUAAAAAUAAAUUUAAGUAAAACUAACUUAGUACAUCACUUAUCAAUUAUCCCCAACUUUUUAACCAUAUGAAUGGUUUUAAAAAAUUAAAUCUAAUAAAGUAUAUUUUUCAGCUUUAUCUUUAUAUGCAUGUAACAUAAAAAUAAUUUUUAAAAUUAAAGAGAACAAAAAUAAAGAUGAAAAAAAAUAGAAUAAAAAUUAAGUAAAAUUAAUCUAGCACAUCACUUACCAGUUACCUCCAAUUUUCAAUCAUAUGGAUGGUUUAAAAAAAUUAAAUUAAAUAAAAUAUAUUUUAUAGCUUUAUCUUUAUAUGCAUGUAACAUAAAUAAAUAUUUUCAUUCAAAGACAAAUUGGAGAAAAAUAAAGUAAUUAAAAUAUAGUAAAAACAAUAUUCACUGAGGGAUUGGGGGGGGGGGGGGGGGAUAAAAUAAUAUAAUAAAGUUAUUAGACAAUACACAUAGUACAAUUUAUAAAUUUUAAACGAAAGAAGUGAGUGGACAGUGAAAUAAAAAUUUAAAUUAUUUUGAUAAUAUGAAAUCUUUAAAUUGUAAAUAAUAUAAUAACAAAAAAUAUGAAACAUAAAAUCAUUUGGCAAUUGUAUGAUGUUUUUACUCAUAUAAAUUGUCUAGAGGUGGAAGACCACGUUGGAAAGGAGGGGGAUGUGGGGGGUGAAGGUGUGGAAAUGUCAACACAAUAUCUUUAAAUUGUGAAUAUAUAAUAAAGAAAAAUCUUAAGCAUAAAAUUCUUUUUUACAAUUACGUGAUUGUUCUUUCGUAUGAAUUUGGUUAGAGGUCGGAUGAUUAGCGUGGGGAAGGGUGGAGGCUUUGGGGGUUCGGGUAAGGGUUCAAAUUAUCUCAAAAGGAUGGUUUUAGGCACCUUUUAAGGUCCACAAGGGUGGUUCCCGACCGAAUUCAUACUUUACAUGGGGAUUCUAUGCGAUCAAAUAAAGUCUCUUAUUUUAUCAUUAAUUUAAUAUUUAGCUAAGCAAUAAAAUAAUUAAUAAGCAAAUGCAUGUCAUUUGUUAAUUCUAAUUGUCGAUUAUCUAGGUGAUAAAGCUAAAUAAAACAUGUAAAUAAGACAAGCGAGGAGAAAGAAGGCAAGACAAUUCAUGAUAAAGGGGACUGCUCAUGUAAUAAACCAAUUACCCCAAAUAAACAUGUAAAGUGAAUAAAAAGACUAAAAAAAAACGAAAUCGUCUAAGCCAAACAAAGAGAUGUUUUGGUUUUGUUCGGAUCAAAAACCCAACUUGUCAAUCAUCAUUCGACCCAAGGGCCAAACUCUUAAACAAGUAAUAAUGUCAUUAGCCUCGCCUUUAAUAUUUGUUGGGAUAAACAUUUCCGAAUGACUACCUGUCCCACCCCACCUAGGCUGAAUGUCAAGUCUAAAGGUGUUCUAUGACAAGGACAAAACUAACGUUUUUAGUAAUAAUUAUCAUCCCAACUAUCGUCUAAGAGGCAUUGGACUUUGUUAUUUUGGAUUUGUGUUCUAGACUAAAAGAAAUCUAUGUUGCCUAGGACUUGAAGCGCGAACAUAUUGGACAACAAGUAGCACGUAAUAAUCUCAAGUUAGCCUCUUGAUUAAUUAACGUUUAUUAAUGUGAUAGCAUGCGAAGAUAAGUAAUUAUAUAUUAUGUCAUUAACCUAUAGGCAUGAUGUCUAAUGUUCAAUCAAGUGGUGCCAAAGGACAACUGUGAUUCGUGUAUGCAACAAUAUAAUGUGCUCAUGAGGGGUGUCAAAAGUGUGGUAAAUGUGUCAAGAAAAUGUGCUUGUGAAUUAAGUGUCAUAAGCUAUAAUGAGAAUACAAGAAACUAGUAAAAUAUUAAAGGAUGCGUUAAAAUGUUAGGAAUGCACUUAAAUGCAGAGAACAAAUUAACAUAUAGAAAAUGUAGAGUAUUACUAGUAUUUUAGCAUGCUGGAAGUCAACUAAACAUGCUGAAAAAGUUAAACAUGCUGAAAAAUUAAUUAAUCAUGCUGAAAGUUACUUAAACAUGCUGGAAAGUUACUUAAACAUGCUGAAAAUAACGUUAAGACGCAGUAUUUUCAUGUUGAUAUGCUGAAAACAUGCCAAGAAUGUCUAAAAUCUAAUAUUUUAAUAUGGUAUAAAUGUAGGGAACUAGCAUUUUAAACAUGCUGAAAUCAGUAUAAGUGCUGAAAUUUAUUUAGAUGCGCAGAAAAAUCAUUUAAACAUGCUGAAAUUUAAUCUAAAAUUGCUGAACUAGAUGUUAGACAUGCUGAAACUUUGAUGUUAACAUGCUCAAAUUGUUUUAAUAUGCCUAAAACGGUGUCGACACGCCUAAAAAUGUAAAGACGUACUAAAUAAAUCGUGCUUAACAUGCAAAAAUUAAUGUAAUAAGCUAACGUAUCGAAAAUAUUAUCAUGCCUUAAUUUAAUGUGGAUAUGUUAAAAAGGUAUUAGCAUGCUUAGUUUCAAAUCAAUAUGCUUAACAUGCAGAGAUACGUCAACAUGCCUAAUGUCAAAUUAAUAAGCUUAAUAUCAAUUAAUAUGAUACGUCAAUUUUAGAUGGAUAAGAGUAAUUAAUAAAUCGUAGCAAGAUUCAUAUUAAUAGACCCAAAUUUUGUGCCUAGAUGAUUCAAAUAACACGUCUUGCAUGUAAUCCUAGGUUGUGCCUACCUAUACCGUUCAUAGAGCACAUAAUCCUUGCCCCCCAAAGCAGUCCCCAAAUAAUAUUAUUACAUCAAUAGGAAAAAUAUUUUAGAAUAAUAUUACAGACCAAAUAAAAAAAAAAAAAAAAACUAGUUAAAAAGAAUACAUAGUUUAACUAUUCCGGGGACUCUUUGGAACUUGUAAGUGUCUAUUUAACCUGCGAAACAAAUUAUAAUGGCAAGCAGACAGGAACACAUAAUAGCAAACAUCAAAAUAUUCCUAAAGACAUGCUUUCUAAAGAUUUUACAACACGAUGCAAUCAAGAUAAAUAGAGGAUGAAAAAUUACAUCGUUCAAGAACUCACCAGUGAACAGCAUUAAAGAGAGAAUAAGAAUAAUAGAAGCCAAAAGCCAAGUAUACGUAAUAGCGAGAUAUGCAAGAUGUUAACAGCAGCCUCUAAAGAGAAACAAAAAGCACUUAAAAAUAUUUAAUUGCCUUUGUAAAAAGUAGCCAAUGAUUUUUGUUAAGAGUAGUAGUAGUAAUUGUAAUUGUGAGACUUGAGAACUUUUCGCUGUCCCCUUUUGUGAAUGAAGGGAUGGGUUUAUAUAGUAUCAAAGAAAUCAGUCAGCUGAGACAAAACAGGAAAAUAAAUAUUCCACCCCUUUAAUUACUGAAGUGAUAUUAUGUAAAAUUAGUCGGGGGUAAAAAUAAGAAAGAGGAGAAAUCAAUCACCCAUAAUUUCCUUAAAAGAAGGCUUGCUCAAUCAAUUGUUUCAUGUUUCCAUAUAUAGGUGGGUAAGAAAAGAUACUAAUUUGAAAGAGGAAAAAUAAUAACAGAAACACGUAUCAUUUACCAUAGAUACUCAAAUUAAUUAAAAGCCAUCCGUUAAUUCUGCUAAAAGCCCAGAAUCUAUUGUCAAUUAGGAACAAACACAAUUAAUAUUUUAUCAUAAACACUGAUUCAAAUAUAAUCCAUGUAUAGCACCUUUCAAUAACAAUCAACAGUCAGCAAUCACAUUGAUUAUCAAAAUUGAGGGUUUUCGCACAUAAUAGUCCAAUGAUAAACAAGUAACUAGACGAAUUAACUCACACUGACAGUCAGAUAUCAUAAACCUUAGGCAAUUUGGGUGAUGAAAAGAACAUGCAAAUCAAAUCGAUAACAAACAUGCCAUUACUAAAACAAACCGUAUAAUAGUCAGAUCUCGGGGGGUGUUAUUUUUGUUGGUGGUGACACCGAAAAUGAAGGAGGUUGCGGAUUUGGAGCGGCGCGAGAAAGAGGCAGAGAAAGGAGGUUGAAUCACAACUGGUGGAGGUGGCAGAUCUGGGGGCGGUGCUGGAGUGGUGGCUCCGAUCGGCGAUGGGAGGCUGGUCGUUCUUGUUUUCGCCAGAGAGGACGGUGCCGGGGCUGGUUUCAUGGCGGCAGUAUGGAGGUUUUUGUGGUCGAUUGGCGACGGAGAGAUCGAAGGAGAGGGGGAGAUCGAGAUUUGGAAGGAUUUUGUAGAGAGAGAGGGGGCAAGGAGAAGGGCUCACUGGCGAUGAGACAGUGGCGGCACCAUCACCAGCAGCAAUGGAUGUCGAUGAUGAUGAGAAGAAAGAAGGGGAGAUAGAGAGAGAGGAGUUAGAGAGAUGAGAGGGGCGGAUGGUUUUUUUGGGGGGAAUUAUGGUUAGGUUUAGGUUUUGUUGUUGUUUUAAAAAGGAAGGUAAAGGAGGUUUGAUCUCAUCCAUCAGAUCAGUUUUUGAUCAACGGCUGGGAUUUAAAGAUUGAAAAUUUGACCAACAUUGAGUACCAUUUAAAAU